CUACGACCUUCAUUGCUUUCGGUGGGAAACUUUUGGCGUCAGAAUUCGACACGAAGACAUGAGAUGUUUAUCGCUAUGAAAUCACGUUCAAGAAGUCUCAUUCAGCACACAUCGCGAAACUUGCUAUCAGUUCCACAGUUUGGCUGAAAAGACGUAAAGGAAGCCCAGUGGUGUUUCUGUAGAGGGAUUCCUUCAGAAAUUGAGAAGACAGAAAGCUGCGGAGGCAGAUAUUUGCAGCAGGCGACAGCUCGGCCAAUGGAGGGCCUGAUUCCUGACCGACAGCGAGAGGAGAGACUGGCAGGCUCAUGUACCACUCACCCAAUCUUCAAGCUGUGGCUUAAAGACAGACAAGUGUACACACACACACACACACACACACACACCCACACACACCACAGGCCACCAGCACUGAUACUCAGAACAUUCACAUGCAUAAUAUUCAGUAGAUAUCAACCAUGCUGCUCACCACACUCUCCCAGGAAUGAGAUGGGGAGUUUGCAGAGUGAAUUUAGGCCUUGUCUAGUGGGUGUAUUUCUAAGCGGUGGAACCUGCCUUGUCCUGCGUGCCGUGGAUGCCAUGGGUGUUACUGAAGCAGCCACCAGAGGCCAUAUACAUUCCCAAAGCCUCUGGCAUUAAAGCAGAAACAGGACAAACAUCCAUGUUAAUAUUAAUAUAAAAUAUUCAUGUUUAUUUCUACUGCUUAGAUGUUAAUUUAGUGUGCAAGUGGAUUUAUUUUUUCCUGCUAUAUAGUUCCUUUUCAGCCUUUAGGCUGUGUUGUAAUUUAAGGAACUAUUUCUAUAAAAGGUUUUCAAAGCCUUAUAUAAAAAAACAGGGAUAUGCUCUGCCACGUAAACAUUCGUUUUAACAAAAUGAAACGCAACAGAAUAGAAACCAAAAACCAAACAAGAUAGAAAGAGAUCAGUUUAGGCUUUGCUCAGUGAGGGAUUGGGAGUUUAGUUAUUACUAAUUAAAUCUAAAUUCAGACAAAAAUGUGUGUAUAGAUACACAUUUAUAAAAUAUAUCUAAUAAUGUCAUUUUAAAAUAUUUAGAAAACGAGGAAUUAAAUAAAUAUUGGAAACUUUCAAAUAAAUAUUCAUGUUUAGUAAAUAUUUAAUUUAGGUAGUUUAGCUUCCGCGGAUAUUGAAAAAAAAAGGCAACAUCCACUCAAACAAAAGUAGUGAAAUUAUUUACAAUGAAUUGAUGUUUACGUAUUAGUGCUAAAAAACUAAUUUUACUUUCAUCUUUACAGUUUAUCUUUCCGAUUUCUUAUUCUGUAUUUUAAGACAUGACGGAAACCUGAUGUAUUGUAGGAAUGCCCCAUGUAAGAUGUGUAUUUUGCAGGUGGCUAUAGCAUAAACUUGGUAUAAUUUUGGUUUCCAGCUAAACUCUAAAGGCUUCUUUGUCAUCAUAUCUCUGUUGAAAAAGUGUAAAAGUAGGCUACUGUCAGACAGUAUAUUGUAACCAGGCUGCACACUGUGUCCUCUUUUUCUUCCGGAAAGUUUUUCCAUUAACCUUUCUAUCUCAAAUAAAAGCUGCAUUCAUUUUGGUUAUUUUUAGGGCCAAUAUCCAUCCUGAAACAUCAUUCCUCUGUAAUUCUGCACAGGACAACAGAGGUUCGGAAAACCUGAGAACACUCUUGAAAUGGCAACAGGAAACGAGGAGAAAUGAAGCGAGCUCUGUGCCACAGGCUCUUUAUAGAUCCAAGAGUCCCAUCAGCGGUACAGAAUUGUCCAUAAACCCAGCGAUCUCUGCUCAAGUUUCCAUCUACUAAAUUCUAGUCCAGUUAAAUAAGAGCCGGAAUCUUUUUCCAGCAAGUACAUUUAUCUUGUGAAAUGGUCGUAGCAAAAUAUCAAAACAGCAUUUGCUGAGCAUGCAAGAGUUGUUCACUGUACAAACUGUCAGAUGCAAAAAUUUUGCAGAAGUAUAUUCUUAAAAUAAUGUUUUUAAGAUAUGUGAACAGAAACUGUGCCAUGCCAUUGAUUACCAAAGUCAAUGCUUGUGAUUCUUCCAUCAGUUUGUAUAAAUAAAAGUAGCAAUAAUUUACAUUGGAAAUCAAGUCUAUGAGGCGAUGCAUUCAAAAGCAGUGGUUUUACAAGCAUACUUUUUUAAAAAGUUUUAAUUUUAUUAAUUCUUCUAUACAAAGCUGAAUAUUAAUGGAGGUCUAAAGUUUGUCUAAAUCAUCCCUUUAGAGAUUAAAAGCUAUAUAAAGUGUUAUAACUGUUAAACUGGAGCAGGUAUCUACUACUAGGAUGAAUCAAAACUAUACAGCAUCAUCAUGCAGCAUUGCUUUUAUGUGUAUAAGUGUAUAACAUGAGACAAUCCAUUAAUAAUAAACUAGUAAACUCUAUAAUGGAAAAGUU
Carassius gibelio (silver crucian carp) is the source of this 2360-nucleotide long non-coding RNA. RefSeq lists it as uncharacterized. The transcript has 3 exons. NCBI's taxonomy places the organism in Eukaryota, Metazoa, Chordata, Actinopteri, Cypriniformes, Cyprinidae. The record is from RefSeq and is a predicted model, not a curated record.